Molecule: ribosomal RNA, 459 nt
Filed under: uncultured bacterium
Lineage: Bacteria
Description: partial 16S ribosomal RNA
Rfam family: Bacterial small subunit ribosomal RNA
Source: RNAcentral
CCUACGGGAGGCAGCAGUGAGGAAUAUUGGUCAAUGGGCGCGAGCCUGAACCAGCCAAGUCGCGUGAGGGAAGACGGUCCUAUGGAUUGUAAACCUCUUUUGUCGGGGAGCAAAAGACGCCACGCGUGGCGUUCCGAGAGUACCCGACGAACAAGCAUCGGCUAACUCCGUGCCAGCAGCCGCGGUAAUACGGAGGAUGCGAGCGUUAUCCGGAUUUAUUGGGUUUAAAGGGUGCGCAGGCGGAAGAUCAAGUCAGCGGUAAAAUUGAGAGGCUCAACCUCUUCGAGCCGUUGAAACUGGUGUUCUUGAGUGAGUGAGAAGUAUGCGGAAUGCGUGGUGUAGCGGUGAAAUGCAUAGAUAUCACGCAGAACUCCGAUUGCGAAGGCAGCAUACCGGCGCUCAACUGACGCUCAUGCACGAAAGUGUGGGUAUCGAACAGGAUUAGAUACCCGGGUAGUC